AGGAGAAUGAGGAGGAGGUGGAGAUGGAGGUGCCCUUUAUUUGCUCCCAUCUUUCAGAAAGAGGGGUGACUGACAUCAGCCUGAAGGUGCCCGCUCUCCGUGAGGCGUUCGCGACUCUGCUUGCCAGCAUCCACAACCAGAACUUCUUGUUCGUGGUGGGAAAAAAGAUCGUCAUGCGACUGGCAGCAGCUAACAACCAGGUGACU
This is a long non-coding RNA of Hemibagrus wyckioides, 206 nucleotides long. RefSeq lists it as uncharacterized. NCBI's taxonomy places the organism in Eukaryota, Metazoa, Chordata, Actinopteri, Siluriformes, Bagridae. The transcript is spliced from 3 exons. The record is from RefSeq and is a predicted model, not a curated record.